Molecule: ribosomal RNA, 652 nt
Filed under: uncultured bacterium
Lineage: Bacteria
Description: bacterial SSU rRNA
Rfam family: Bacterial small subunit ribosomal RNA
Source: RNAcentral
AGAGUUUGAUCCUGGCUCAGAAUGAACGUUGGCGGCGUGCUUAACACAUGCAAGUCGAACGAGAAAGUCCCUUCGGGGGCGAGUAAAGUGGCGAACGGGUGCGUAACACGUAGGAAUCUGCCCUUCUGUGAAGGAUACCUUCGAGAAAUCGAAGCUAAUACUGCAUAAGUCCCUUCGGGGAGAAAGACGGCCUCUUGCUGUCGCAGAAGGAUGAGCCUGCGGACUAUUAGUUUGUUGGUGAGGUAAAAGCUCACCAAGACUGUGAUGGUUAGCCGGCCUGAGAGGGUGGACGGCCACACUGGGACUGAGAUACGGCCCAGACUCCUACGGGAGGCAGCAGUGGGGAAUAUUGCACAAUGGGCGAAAGCCUGAUGCAGCGACGCCGCGUGGAGGAUGACGGUCUUCGGAUUGUAAACUCCUGUUAAGUGGGAAGAAAUCUUUGUGAAUAAUACGCACAGAGGAUGACGGUACCACUAGAGAAAGCUCCGGCUAACUUCGUGCCAGCAGCCGCGGUAAUACGAAGGGAGCGAACGUUAUUCGGAAUUACUGGGCGUAAAGAGCGUGUAGGCGGUUAAUUAGGUCAGUUGUUAAAUUUCCCAGCUCAACUGGGAGUCGGCAAUUGAAACUGGUUGACUAGAGGGCAAGAGAGAGA